UUAAAUUAUUCACCGAUGUUUGUUCGAGUUUUCCUGUACAAUACGAAUUUUGAUGUCAAACUAUUAACAACUCCUGAAGCUGAAGCCACUGCAGCUUUGAGCAUCAAAGGUGAAAUUAGCUUUGAGGAGAAAGACAAGCUGACGGUUUUACAAGAUGAUAUAAAAGAGCUGGGAAAAGCUGUCACACGAAACUAUGAACAG
Long non-coding RNA from Saccostrea cuccullata (small rock oyster), 201 nucleotides. RefSeq lists it as uncharacterized. The transcript has 4 exons. Lineage: Eukaryota; Metazoa; Mollusca; Bivalvia; Ostreida; Ostreidae. The record is from RefSeq and is a predicted model, not a curated record.